RNAcentral lists this ribosomal RNA (681 nucleotides) under fungal sp. RNAcentral describes it as "eukaryotic LSU rRNA". The stretch from base 463 to 681 matches the Rfam family "Eukaryotic large subunit ribosomal RNA", at positions 1 to 223 of the family's 3401-position model. Lineage: Eukaryota; Fungi. The record is from RNAcentral.
CAUUACCGAGUUUACAACUCCCAAACCCCUGUGAACAUACCACUUGUUGCCUCGGCGGAUCAGCCCGCUCCCGGUAAAACGGGACGGCCCGCCAGAGGACCCCUAAACUCUGUUUCUAUAUGUAACUUCUGAGUAAAACCAUAAAUAAAUCAAAACUUUCAACAACGGAUCUCUUGGUUCUGGCAUCGAUGAAGAACGCAGCAAAAUGCGAUAAGUAAUGUGAAUUGCAGAAUUCAGUGAAUCAUCGAAUCUUUGAACGCACAUUGCGCCCGCCAGUAUUCUGGCGGGCAUGCCUGUUCGAGCGUCAUUUCAACCCUCAAGCACAGCUUGGUGUUGGGACUCGCGUUAAUUCGCGUUCCCCAAAUUGAUUGGCGGUCACGUCGAGCUUCCAUAGCGUAGUAGUAAAACCCUCGUUACUGGUAAUCGUCGCGGCCACGCCGUUAAACCCCAACUUCUGAAUGUUGACCUCGGAUCAGGUAGGAAUACCCGCUGAACUUAAGCAUAUCAAUAAGCGGAGGAAAAGAAACCAACAGGGAUUGCCCUAGUAACGGCGAGUGAAGCGGCAACAGCUCAAAUUUGAAAUCUGGCUCUCGGGCCCGAGUUGUAAUUUGUAGAGGAUACUUUUGAUGCGGUGCCUUCCGAGUUCCCUGGAACGGGACGCCAUAGAGGGUGAGAGCCCCG